AUCCAGUAGAUGAGUCCCAAAUAAGACGAAAUGCACAUUCUGGAU
This 45-nucleotide non-coding RNA is filed under the name Trichobilharzia regenti. Lineage: Eukaryota; Metazoa; Platyhelminthes; Trematoda; Strigeidida; Schistosomatidae. The record is from RNAcentral.